RNAcentral lists this ribosomal RNA (202 nucleotides) under Clavigralla pusilla. Its description in RNAcentral is "partial large subunit ribosomal RNA". It matches the Rfam family "Eukaryotic large subunit ribosomal RNA", at positions 1827 to 2029 of the family's 3401-position model. Lineage: Eukaryota; Metazoa; Arthropoda; Insecta; Hemiptera; Coreidae. The record is from RNAcentral.
GAACACCGCGCCGGCUCGUACCCAUAUCCGCAGCAGGUCUCCAAGGUGAAUAGCCUCUAGUCGAUAGAAUAAUGUAGGUAAGGGAAGUCGGCAAACCCGAUCUGUAACUUCGGGAUAAGGAUUGGCUCUGAGGAUCGUGGCGCGCCGGGCUUGGUCGGGAAGUGGAGCGGUGCCAACGUGCCGGGCCUGGGCGAGGUGAAGG